This 1014-nucleotide ribosomal RNA is filed under the name Flammeovirga aprica JL-4. Its description in RNAcentral is "partial 23S ribosomal RNA". It matches the Rfam family "Bacterial large subunit ribosomal RNA", at positions 1929 to 2925 of the family's 2925-position model. The record is from RNAcentral. Lineage: Bacteria; Pseudomonadati; Bacteroidota; Cytophagia; Cytophagales; Flammeovirgaceae. RNAcentral also lists the same sequence under 1 other name.
GGCGGCCGUAACUAUAACGGUCCUAAGGUAGCGAAAUUCCUUGUCGGGUAAGUUCCGACCUGCACGAAUGGCGUAAUGAUGGCCAGGCUGUCUCCACCCGAGACUCAGUGAAAUUGAACUCGCUGUGAAGAUGCAGUGUACCCGCGGCAAGACGGAAAGACCCCGUGAACCUUUACUAUAGCUUGACACUGAACAUUGAGCCUUGAUGUGUAGGAUAGGUGGGAGGCUUUGAAGCGUGGACGCCAGUCUGCGUGGAGCCAACCUUGAAAUACCACCCUUUAAUGUUUGAUGUUCUAACGUUGGCCCCUGACCGGGGUUGCGGACAGUGUCUGGUGGGUAGUUUGACUGGGGCGGUCUCCUCCCAAAGCGUAACGGAGGAGCACGAAGGUUAGCUAAUCCUGGUCGGACAUCAGGAGGUUAGUGCAAUGGCAUAAGCUAGCUUGACUGCGAGCGUGACGGCGCGAGCAGGUGCGAAAGCAGGUCAUAGUGAUCCGGUGGUUCUGAAUGGAAGGGCCAUCGCUCAACGGAUAAAAGGUACUCCGGGGAUAACAGGCUGAUACCGCCCAAGAGUUCAUAUCGACGGCGGUGUUUGGCACCUCGAUGUCGGCUCAUCACAUCCUGGGGCUGAAGUAGGUCCCAAGGGUAUGGCUGUUCGCCAUUUAAAGUGGUACGCGAGCUGGGUUUAGAACGUCGUGAGACAGUUCGGUCCCUAUCUGCCGUGGGCGCUGGAGAAUUGAGGGGGGCUGCUCCUAGUACGAGAGGACCGGAGUGGACGCAUCACUGGUGUUCGGGUUGUCAUGCCAAUGGCACUGCCCGGUAGCUAAAUGCGGAAGAGAUAAGUGCUGAAAGCAUCUAAGCACGAAACUUGCCCCGAGAUGAGUUCUCCCUGAGACUAUAAGUCUCCUGAAGGAACGUUAAAGACGAUGACGUUGAUAGGCCGGGUGUGUAAGCGCAGCGAUGCGUUGAGCUAACCGGUACUAAUGAACCGUGAGGCUUAACCUUACAACGCCGAAG